GUCUCAGCCGCCGCGGUAAUACGAAGGGACCUAGCGUAGUUCGGAAUUACUGGGCUUAAAGAGCACGUAGGUGGUUAAGAAAGUUGGUGGUGAAAUCCCAAGGCUCAACCUUGGAACUGCCACCAAAACUUUUUAACUAGAGUAUGAUUGAGGUAAGCGGAAUUUCUAGUGUAGAGGUGAAAUUCGUAGAUAUUAGAAAGAACACCAAUUGCGAAGGCAGCUUUCUGGAUCAUUACUGACACUGAGGUGCGAAAGCAUGGGUAGCGAAGAGGAUUAGAUACCCUCGUAGUCCAUGCCGUAAACGAUGUGUGCUAGACGUUGGGAAUUUAUUUUUCAGUGUCGCAGCAAAAGCGUUAAGCACACCGCCUGGGGAGUACGACCGCAAGGUUAAAACUCAAAUGAAUUGACGGGGACCCGCACAAGUAGUGGAGCAUGUGGUUUAAUUCGAAGAUACGCGCAGAACCUUACCAACACUUGACAUGUUCGUCGCGACUCUAAGAGAUUAGAGUUUUCGGUUCGGCCGGACGAAACACAGGUGCUGCAUGGCUGUCGUCAGCUCGU
Molecule: ribosomal RNA, 561 nt
Filed under: uncultured bacterium
Lineage: Bacteria
Description: bacterial SSU rRNA
Rfam family: Bacterial small subunit ribosomal RNA
Source: RNAcentral